This is a long non-coding RNA of Monodelphis domestica (gray short-tailed opossum), 19001 nucleotides long. RefSeq lists it as uncharacterized. The record is from RefSeq and is a predicted model, not a curated record. Lineage: Eukaryota; Metazoa; Chordata; Mammalia; Didelphimorphia; Didelphidae.
CCUCCUCUAUCAGCCCAUCCUUCAGAUGAGUGAUUAAAAAGAAAAAAAAAAUGAACAAACGCAUGUUAACUCAUAUCCUUACCACAAGAGGGACAUCUUUAGUAAUCUCUGAACUCAAGAGUUUUAGAAAGUUUUAAGUUCUAAAUAACUUGCCCCUGCCCUGGAAGUUAAAAAAUAAGUUAUUUAAUAUUUAGCGCCUAAAGCAGAUGACUUUGUAAUAUUGCUAGGAGGGAACAGAGGACUAGCAGCUGGGAGCUGGUGGACGGUGAGGAUUAGAACUUCAUCUGUUGAUGUGACCAACAGAAUUUCAAAGGGAAAACAGGAUUCGAAAAGCCUGAGGAGCAGGGGAAAAGGUAAUUAAUAGUAUCAAAUGCAGAGUUGAGAAGGAAUGAAAGAAAAAAGGUCAUCAGAUUGGGUAAGUAAAUGAUCAUUGGUAAUUUUGGAGAGGGUAGUUUCAGUUGAUAACGAAGUCAGAAACUAGAUUGCAAAGUGUUAAAAAGUGAGUUUGAGGAGAGUAAGUGAAAUCAACGAAGAGUUUUUGGCUGUGAAAUGAAAGAAUAAUGUAGAAGUGAAGCUUGAAGCAGCAUGUAGUGAUAGUUUUUUGUUUUUAAUAGAACUGGGGAAACCUGGGUAUGUUUGUAGGCAGCUGGGAAGGAACUAGUAGAUAGGGAGAAAUUAAAGAUUUAUGCCCAAGAGUGGUGGAGUGACAGAGACAGGAUAUAGAGAUACAGAAGAAGAGACAGAGAAUGAUUAUGAUUGUAGUGGCAACAUGCUGGAAAAAAUAGGAGGGGAAUCAAGGUGACAAAUAAAUUAACUUUGGGAUAGAGAAGGGUCACCUUAUUUGAGACUGGGGUAUGGUUUUAUAUGGGGUGAAUUGGUCUUUAAUCAGUGUAUUUCCUUUCACCAUAUCCUUUAAAUAUUUAUAGAAAGCAAAGGGCAGAUAACAGGUAAUCAGGUUAAAAUAUACUAACUAGAUGGUUUCAAUGUAAAAAAAAAUGAUCCCUUUAUUAAGUUCAAAUAAAUAGACAAAGUUCUUGACUGAUUUAGAAGGGGAACCUGGCCACUAAGUGGGAAAUGUGUUGGGGAAUAAUUGGCUGUACUCUAGGAGACCUUUACUUGACUGAACCUGCCAGCAGGGGUCAGUCCAGGUUGGAAACCUUAGAGCAGAAGGGGAUUUUUUUUCUUUUAGGUCUCUCAUACACCUAUGAGUCUUCUUGCAUCGAAUUUAUGGACAUUUCAUCCAGCAGUUCAAGAGUUCAACUGUUCAGGAGAGUUGAGGGCACAGUUGAGAAAGGAGAGACACAUUCUUCAGGUUAAUACAGAUAUAGAGAGACAAUCAUUCCAAACCAAGAAGCAACUUUCAGGAGCUGGACUGCUGGCUGGAUGAUCAAUUCUGGUUUAGCUAUUAAAUGUCUUCAAGCUUUUAGGAACUGGGGCUACAAAUACAAAAGGAAGGCAGUUCUUGCCCUCAAGGAGCUUCUAUUUUCUAUUGUGGAAUUAUAAUACAUAUGUGGAAGUAAUGACUAGGGAAGGGAAAUUUGCUCUAAGAGAUUCCAUCAGUCAAUAAACACUUUGUAAGGGUUUAUACUAUGUUUGGGCCAGGGACUGUGCUAAGUACUGGGGAUACAAAGAAAGCACAGUUCUUGUUCUCCAGAAGUUCACAUUUUAAUGGAGGGGACAACAGGCAUACAACCAUGCACCUAAAAGGCAUAUAUAAGAAUGUGUAUGGGGUGUGUAUAUACAAACACACACAUAUUAUGGAGAUUAUCAUGAAAGGAAGGCACUAACAAUUAACAGGAUUAGGAAAGGCCUUCAUAGACAGUAGAAUUUUAACUGAAACUUGAAGGAAGUUCCAGAAGCCAAGAGACAAAGUGAAAAGGAGAGCAUUACAGGCAUGGAUAACAACCAGUGAAUAGGCUUAAAAGUGUUGGGAAGAGGGAAUGUCAUGUGAGAGGAAGAAAGCCAGUGUUUCUAGAUCCUAGAGUAUGUGGAAGAAAGGCAUGAGGUAUAAGAAGAAUGGAAAAGUAGUGUUGAUUUCUUGGAAGAGGCACACUUACUAGUGAGAGAUAGAUGACUAUGCGUCAAAGAUAGGAGACCAGACUAAAAUUAAAGAGAUUUAUUUUCAUGUUAAGGAGUCUGCUCUGGGUAAUAGCAAAUUGAGAUAGAUUCCUGGUGUAUAGACAUGUUUUUUUAUAACUUUUCAGUUGUGUUUAGAACAUACACUCAGCAACGUUCGAAGAAACUUAGGAUAGAGUAAGAAAAGCUUUUCUCAAGAGAGGGAGGGACAGAGAACAGAGAGAGGGAUCAGUCAAGGGAGAAAGGAGAGUAGUUGGAAUGCUAUUGUUAAGAUUUAUUACCAAAGCAAGAAAACAUUUCCUGUUCAAGGCCAAGAGACAAGAAAAAAGACUUAAAAAAAUUUUUUUUUAAAUUCUUUCAGAUAAAAUUGCAAGGUCUGGCUAUUGAAGGAUAGCAAAUAGUUACAGCACUGGCUGAAACCUUCCUGUUUACCAUGGCCUUGAAUAGAAGCUGAGAACAUUCUUAAACUAGGCCACCAAAUGGUUGGGGGAAUUUCUACAUUGUUAAUACAUUACAAAAUAAUUGUGUUUCCUAUUUUUCCUCCAUGGUAGGAAGGAGUGGAAAAGGAUUUUAAAUGUAAACAGAGGAUUUUCUAUUUGAUUUUAUAGGUAGUAGGGAAUCACUGGAGAUUACUGAAUGGGGAAAUGGGGAGUGGGGCAGAGGGUGUCAGAUUGUUGUCAGACUGGUGCUUUAGAAAUAUCACUUUCACAAAUGAAUAAAAGAUGGAUUGGAGUGAGGAGAAUCUUGAAGCAGGGAGGCCAAUCAGAAGUCUAUUUUAAUAGUCUAGGUAUGAGGUAAUGAGGUGAAGGUCAUGGUUGUGUUAGUAGAGUAGAAACAAAAGAGAUGUAGUGGGUAGAAAUGACAAAAUUUGACAUUGGAUUGGAUAGUGGAGUGAGAAUGAAACAGAUGUUGAAGAUGACAGUGUGAACCUUAAAAAUUCCCAGACCCUACUUCAUAAGAUUGGAUUAAGACCAUUCCCCAUUUGGGCAGUGAACUCUACUUAGAUCAGGAAUGUGAGAACUCUACUUCACCUACUUAAGUCUGCCCUAGGGGAAGAUAAAGUUGUAAACUCUUUUCUGAACAAUGAAAAGGACUUAAACCCAUACUUAUAGUAAGGCAAAAAGUUCUUAAAAUAAGUACCUAUAAAGGUCAAGCAUCUUGUGAAUUUACAAGGAACAAAGAGCUGAGAAACUUACUCAGAGCUUUCCUGGCGGGAAUUACUCAAAAAUUUACACCUUCUUAGGUGUGGACUGUCUUUUGACAUGGUCUGUCUUUUGAAAAACGUCUACUGUGAUUGGUAGAUGGAAGAACUUAGGGGAGGUGACAUAGGAGAAAAUUCCCUAUAUAAGGAGAUGACAGGCUCUUAAAGAGAAGACAGUCUCUUGAAAACAGUCUCUAAGGAGGCUGUUGGGAGAGAGCUCUGGAAACAGGCUCUUGGGACAGUCACUGGCUGGAACUCCCUUUGAGGAGGACUCUGGCUGGAAUGCCCUCUGAGGAGACUCUGUCUCUCUCGGGUCUCCCUUGGGACAGUCAUCUGGGAAAGGCUGCCUUGAAGGGUCUCUCUCUCUAGACUCUCUCAGGGACAUUCGGAUUCACAUUCAGAUUCAGAUUCAGGAUUGAGCUGGUGAAGUCAGUUGAGAUGGAGCUGGCCUGGUGUCACUAGAAUCCUUGUUUGGACAGAUCUUGUGGUGAGUGAUUAAGGACUGACUGAUCUUUUCUCUUAGGGCUUAGGCCUGGGUUGGCCAGGACUGGCCAGGGCCGGCUUAUCCCUUUCUCAUUAUUCCCUUUUUCUCUCUCUCUUUCUUUAAUUCCUCAUUGUAUUAAUUAAUUAAAAUCUCUAUAAAACCCAGUUGACUUGGGUAUAUUUCAUAAUUGGGAAUAUUUCCCUGGUGACCACCUUAUAUAUUUGAUUUGAAACAAGACACUGUAGUGAAAACAUAUUUUCUGCGGUCACAAUUUACUCAUCCACUCUUAUAUCUACCACAAUUUAUAGUCUUCCACUAUUGUAAUCACUACAAUUUAUAACCCCCAACUAUUUUAAUUAUUACAACAUCAAGGUUGUUGAUGUGACAGGGAAGGUCAUGGCACCCUGGACAGUAAUAGGGGAAUUUGGAAGAAUUUGGAAGAAGGGACAUCCAAGAGAGAGUUAUUUAUGAAGCACUGUAGUUUAAGAGAGACUGAGUCUAGAUAUGUAGAUCUGGGAAUUGGCUUCAUAGUAAUUUAAUUGAAAUCAUAGAAGAGUAAGAGGGAUUUUAAUAUCCUUUCCUGUAGCACCACAUCUGGUUUCCUGGUGAAUGGCUAAAUGGGAUAUGAUGUAUGGAUUACCUAGAUAAUUCUUACCCUUCUUGAUCUUUCUGCAGUAUUUGACACCAUUGAAUAUCUCCUGGGCACUUUCUUCUGUGAUUUUAUGAAAUUGUUUUCCUCUCUCCUGGUUUUCCUACAAACUCUCAGGCCAUUUCUUCUAUAGACUCCUUUGCUGGAUCAUAAUCCAUGUCCCAUUCCCUAACUGUAGGUGUUACUGAAGACUCUGUCCUAGAAACAAACAUUGCUCUCUAUGUAGCUUUGAUUGGGGGUAAUUCAUAAACUCUCAUGGGUUCAGUUAUAUCUAUGCAGAUAACUUUGAUGUCUCUAUAUCCAGAUGACUUUGAUGUCUGUCUAUCUGUUCUCUCACUACCAACUACUUGUUGGAUAUCUCCAUAUCUAUUAGAUAUGUUGGAUAUAUAAUAAAAUGAGGAACAUAAAAAGCAUCUACCUUUCAAGAAUGUUGUGAGGAUCAAAUGAAAUAAUAUUUGUUAAGUGUUUAGCACCGAGGCUGGCACACAGCAAUUGCUUAAUGAAUACCUGUACCCUUACCAUCAAAUUCAACAUUUCAAAAUAUAACUCAUUAUCUUCUUUAACUACUCUACUCCUUCAAUUUUGCCUAUUUCUGUUAAGGACAUCUUUAUUCUUCCAGUUACCUAGGAUCACAACCUUGGCAUCCUCCUCCAUUCUCCCUUACCCUGUAUCUAUUCAGCUGCUGAAGACUGUCAAUUCUACUUUUAUAACUUCUCUCACUUCUGUUCAUUUUCCUCUACCUGCAAAGCCACCACCUUAGUUUUGGCUUUCAUUACCUUUCUUCUCUGUAAUUGCAAUGUUUUCCUAAUUGAACUACCUGUUUUUAGUCUCUACUUUCCAAUCUAUUCUCCAUACACUUCAAAAUAAUUCUCUUAAAACCCCUUUGACCAUUUCACUCCCCUGCUUAAGAAUCUUAGGUGACUCUAUUGCCUCUAGGAUAAAAUGUGAAUUCUUCAAUUUAGCAUUGAAAUCUUCACAAGCUAGCUUUAGUUUUACCUUACUUUAAAAAAUGUUUUAUUAAUGCAUUUUGCUUUUACAUCACAGUAAUUUUCAGAUAUUCUCCAUUGCCACCCCCUCUCUCCUUAGUAACAAAGGAAAUUGUAAUGGAGGGGGAGAAAUGGAGACCCCCACUACUUAAUUCAGGACUAAAGUGAGUUAGAGAUGGAAUGAAGCUAAAGGUGGAGAGAGGGGACAUUGUUUCUCCCUUCUCUUUCCCUAGUAAACCCACACAGGCUAUCUUCAGAUUCACAGACUAUAAUUUCUUGAGAGACUGGGUUGAAGUAAAAUCCAGAACUGAAAUGUUUCUUCUUCCUUGGGUGUAAGACUCUAUGGCUUACAAGACUCAUCCACAGGGUCGGCCAGUCCUGUGACAUCCUGUUUGGGGUAACGAAAAAUGAAGAGUAACAAAAGAAGAGAUGGACACUAUAUGAAAACAGAGAAAUAGUGCCAAUUUUAUUUGCUUCACACAGAACUUUUAUAGGCAAAGACUUAGACUACUUAGACAAAACCCACAGGAAUUUAUGAUUCUUCAUUCCAGAAACCCUAACCUUGGUCCAGGGAUAGGCAGGUGUUCAAAGGUUAACCCAUAUCCUUCGUUUAUUACAAAUACAAACAAGGGGAAGAGGGGCAGAGAAGGGGAUAAGUGCCCACCUAAUCAUAAAUUGCCUUUCAUAAGUGUUAUCCUGCUUCCUUCAUGUUUACUGUUCCAUCCUUGGUCCCAGGAUGGGUAAAGAUUAAUCCUCAUCUUUGUCUGAAGCAAAGACAAGCAAAUCCACAACUUUAUCUUAAGCAAAUACAAAUAAAGAAAAGAGGAGGUAAUCCUCGACUACACUUGGGGAGGAAAUAUAGUUCUCCUCUCCAAAACUUCAGGUCUCUUUCCUUAAAUAUUAUGAGCAGGCACUUGAUCUAUAGAAACAGUUAUUUAUUCUUGAGGAACAUACAAAGGUAGGGUAAGUGAGAUUGUGGAAUAAAGUAAUGGGAAAGUGGGAAAUAGGAAGUCCCUAAGGAUUAACAGUUGAACCCCUUCUCUCCAAAUCUUGCAAGGUCAGACUUCACCUGCCUGACCCUCUGGAGUCAAUUGUGAUAGAUUUCCUGACUUCUAACUGUCCUAAUUAUGAUAUGAAGUUCAAGGACUAGUUUAGAGGGAGAGAAGAACUCUUCCUGGGAUGGAUAGCUUUCUAUCAAAGUCCUAUCCACUCCUGUUGUCUUCUUCUGGAUUCAAGAGGCCUGGAUUCACAGAAGGAUGAUCAAGACUCAGAGGUUCUCUCAGCCCAACCUCUCUGGAGGGCUCCUCAAAGAGAAGUGAGUUAACUGCUUGGAUUCUCUCAGCUCCUCAGUUCUUUCAACGGAAUUGUCAGUCCUUCCUGCCCUUCCCUGGCUCGACCUGGUUUUCCAGCAUAAUGAAUCUGCUUUCUUCUCUUAUAAAAUCCAAAAGAUAUAAUUGUUAUGAUUGAAAUUAUCUGGAGGCUGUAUUUAAAAUUUUUUUUAAUAUUAGUUUAUUUAUUUUCUACUCAAGAAAAUCUAACUAGCCAUGGACUUUUUUCCUGCCAGGGGCAGACUGGACUAGAGAGAAGGCAUAGCUCAAGGAGCUGAUUCUGUUUCCAGAGAGAGAGCCAGAUUUCCCAUUGCAUGAGUCAAUAUAUACCCCUUCUUACAUCAUCAUUUAGUCUCUCUCCUGGAAUCAUCCUAAGAGGUUUGUCACUGGAACUUAAGAGACUUCCUCCUGGGAAGUGGCCGGUCUUAUGGAUGCCAAUUCACCCUCUUCCUCCCCACAAUGUGGUUGCCUAGCACUUCGUGCACUCUUCUCAGCAUGAUAUCUGGCUAGCUGAUUUAAUUAUCUCAUCUCUUCCAGUGGGUCAAGUGAUCACUUUGCUUGUCCAUAAUAUCAUUAUAUUCAACAAGGACAAAAGAUUUAGACAAAAGAAGGGAGGACUCAACAGCCUGGGAGACAGUCAGCUUGAGCUUUAGCCUUAAAAUCAAAAUGUUUGCACUCUAAAAUUAAAAGGUUUUUUGGGUCGGCUACAGGGUACAAUUUAAUAUUAAUUUUCUAAUGAUCCCUUCUGACAUUAUAUGUAUUCGGUACCCAAAGUCCUUUAGUAAUCCAACAACAAAAAAAAGUAUUUUCUAAUAUUUUUUUCCUAGAGGCUAAGAUUGGUCAUUACAAAUAUGAAGUAUUUAACUUGCUUUUGGUCUUCUUUAUAUUUUAAUGUUAUAUAUCAAAUGAGUAUUUUUUUCAGUUUGCAUUAUUUCACUCUGCAUCAAUUUAUUAACACCUCUUCAUAUUUUUCUGUAAUACUCAGAUAGUCACUUGUUCUUAUGAUAUAAAGAUAUUCUAUUAGAUUCAUAUAUCACACAUUUUUAAAAAUCAUUCCCCAAUUGAUUGGUCCCUACUUUGUUUCCAGACAUGAAAGGGCUAUUGUGACUCAGUAGUGGGUUAAAGGGUAUCCAGGAUAGCUUAUUGUACAUCUGUUCCCCUCAUGAACUAUUGAAUGGUUUCUUUGCUAUACCUGGAACUUGAUUUUUCAUCUCCACUCCUCAUGCCUUUGCCUGGAUUAUCCUUCAUGCCUGGAAUAUAUAUUCAUGCCUCCUUUCUUAUAAUUCUUAACUACCUUUUAGGCUCAAUUCACAUGCCAUUCCUUAUGGAAAAUUAUUAAUAGUUAUUUUGAUCUGAUGAGUGCUCUUAAAAUUAUCAUUAUUAUCAUUUAUUAAUAUGUUAUUUUCCUUCCAUAGAAUUUAAGCCCUUGAAUUUGUGUAUACUUAAAAAUAUUAUUCCCAUUACCAUGCAGAAUACUUUAAUACAGAGUGGAUGCUUAAUAAUGCUUAUUGGAUUGAAUUGAGGUCAGGCUACUUAAAUUACCUGGAAAAAAUAAUACACAGUAAUUUCUCCCUCCCUGAAUCUAUGAUAAGCCUACAUUCUCUACCUUUCUGAACCUGCAUCUUCCAUAUAUGCACAACACACAGACAGAAGGACACACACACACACAUACACACACACAAAUCAUAAUGAGUUAGAUGAAAACCCAAUUCAUCCUGAUUUCCCUUUUCUAAUUCUAGGUUUUCGUUCCUUGUCUCAUCUUCCUUUUUUUGCUGGAGAACAAAGUCCUUUCUUUAGGAACUUCAGAUUUACCUCCCAGGUCAAAAUUAUUUUCCUUGAAGUCAUGCAAACUUUGUGGUAUCUCUGGGUGGAAUUGUCAGGUCUUAUUUCUCUUUUUUCUUUGCAUAUAUGCUCUUGCAUAUACAAACUAAACUUCCUUUACGCUAAAAUCUUCUUGAUUCUAUCACUUUCUCUUGUCUAGUGAAGUCAGAGUGAUUUUUUUUAGGUUCAAUUUCUUUACAUUUUUUCCCUCCUCACCCAUGAGUGAUUUGGAGCUCAGUUCUACAUUUCAGUAUCUCACUUUCUUAUAUCAGUAACAUGAACAUUAAGUUAUCCAAUACCCCCCCACCCACCCCAAUGCAAUGACUAUAUUCUAGUAAAAAUAAAGAUAAUAAUUUUAAAGUUUUUGAAAUUGUUUUCAAAAGUAGGCAUCAUAGCAUAAUGGAAAGAGAACUAGCCUUAGAGUUAGGAAUGUCCUUCCUAUACCUUCUAGCUCUGUAACUGGGUAAGUCACAACUCCUCUAUUCCAGACAACUCUCUAAGUUUAUAAUAAUAUUUAGCCUUCAUAUAGCACUUUACAGGUUUGCCAAAGCACUUUACAGAUAUCUCACACCAGCCUUGGGAGGUAGAUGUUAUUGUUUUCCCCAGUUUACUAUUGGGGAAACUGAGGCUGACGAAGGGUCAUACAGAUAGUAAGUGUAUGGAGCUGGAUUUGAAUUUAGGUCUUCCUAAUUUCAGACCCACUACUCUAUCCAUUGUAUUGUUUCCUCAGAUAUAAAACUAUCUUUAUAUUUGACUUUAAAUUGUCCAGAGCAUAUUGAUCUGCCUUGGUAGAGGAAAUUCCUCACCAGCAGCUCCCUAUAACAAUGAAAUCUGAGUGCUUGAAAAAACAAAUUACCUUAGGAACUGAAGAUAAGAAAAAAGCACAGUUUUAAUGCACUUUUAGACAUCCAUUGUUUGCUGGUAUCCAUCAGCUAAACAUAGCAACAAUGGAAUUGCAUUUCUCUUAGUAAUGGGCUGGAAAAAAUCUCAUGCAUUUGUGAAUCUGUUCAGAACUUUCCUGGGGUAAUGUGAGACUGUAUACUAAUAAUACCUGAUUUUUAUGUAUCUCUAGUUUGUAUUCCUAGGUUCCCUUGGACUGUAGUUAUUGAAUUCAAUUUGAAUUCAUCACAUACUUUCUGUGUGAAAAGCAUUGUAAAAUGACUUAAUAGUAAAAUAAUAGGCACAGUUAAAAUGGCUGCCUAUGUUUUGAUAGCAAGAGCAAAUUUUGGGAACAUAGGAGCAGAAGAAUCAGUAGGAGUCCACUACAAUGGUUUUAAGAAUAAAAACCUUAAUUAGUUUAGGGGUGUAGUUGGGGGAGAGGGUAAGUAGAAAUGUAAAAUCUAAGCAGUGCUGCAGAAUUGAGGGGGAGGAGAAUCUUUUGUUUGUGGUUUCCCUUGAGCUGCCAUUUUGUUACCCAUGUACAUAUUGGAUCCUUGUAUACUCAUUUUCAUUUCUUGGAGUACAAAGAACUACAACAAUGAUUUGCCCUGGUUUGUGGGCUAUUUUCACCAAUUAAUAUUUGAGAUUCAGUUGAAAAAAUGUUACAAACAGCAUUUUUUCAAACUCUAAACAGGAUUGCAGAGGGAAACAUUCCAAGAGUCAGUAUAGAAAUGAAUUUUAAGACUUAAUUUUUACUUACAUCAUUUAAAAAAAACCUACUGUUAAACUUCCUGCUUUAUGCUCUAUCCUUGUGAUUACUAACAUACACAUUUUUUUUUCUCUUUUCAAGAAAGGUGAUUUUAAAAAAAUUGCCAAGAUAGCAAUUACUUACAUCGAUCCUUUGAAAAUGAAGUCACCAGAAUAGUAAUGCUGUUUUAUGAGUCAAUUGAGAGUAGACUUAUUAUCUUGAUAAGUAAUUAUUAAAUAUAGAAUCAAAGGAAAUUUUUAUCUUUAAAACCAGUAUUUCUUUUUCAAUAUCGAACUUUCCACAGAGCUCUGGUCUUUUCUUUGCAAAAACUUGGAAAUCUUCUAUUUUGCUGAAUGCCCAUACUUUCCCUUGGAAGUAUAUAGUCAGUUUUGAUGGAUAGCUGAUUCUUGGUUGAAGACCCAGCUCUCUUGCCUUUCUGAAAAUCAUGUUCCAUGCCUUACGAUCAUUCAGACUGGAACUUGCAAGGUCUUGUGUGAUCCUGAUUGGCAUUCCUUUAUAUCUAAAUUGUCUUUUCCUGGCUUCUUGUAGGAUUUUUUCCUUUUGUUUGAAAGCUUUGGAAUUUGGCAAUUACAUUCCUGGGAGUUGUCUUUUGGGGAUUUAGUGUAGAGGGUGUUUUGUGAGCUCUGUCAGUGUUCUAGAAUCUCUGGGCAAUUUUUUUUUAUUAUAUCUUGUAUUACGAUGUCGAGUUUGCUGUUUAUUUCUGGGUUUUCUGGAAGUCCAAUUAUUCUUAAAUUAUCUCUUCUUCCUCUAUUUUCCAAGUCUGUCACCUUGUCAGUGAGAUAUUUUAUGUUCUCUUCUAAUUUCUUUGUCUUUUGGCUUUGCUUUAUUAAUUCUUGCUCGGUGUUUUCGAGUUGCCUGAUUCUGACUUUUAAAGCCUGGUUUUCCUUUUCACUUUGGUCAAACUGGUUUUGUAGAUGCGUGAAUUUCUUUUGCAUUAUUUCCCACUUUUCCUCCCAGAGGGCUUCCAUCUUUUUGAUCCUUUCCGAUUCAAAUUCUUCAUGGGUUUGUGGAGAGUUUCCAUUUCCUUUGGAAGGUUUCGGAGCAUUUGCUUGUGUUUCCUCUUCUAUCUCCUAUGUAUUUUGUAUUUUUGCUCCAUAAAAUGUGUCCAAAGUCGCCCCCUUCUUCUUGUUCUUCUUGGAAUUUUAAGGCUUUUGUACUUCUGUGGAGUUUGCCAUCUCUAUCUGAGUGUGGAGGACUUGCUUUUCUUAUCUCUGUCUGGUGUUCAGAGGUUUUAGCCCUAGGCAGAUUGUCCGUUCUAUGCAGUUGUUGUUCUGUCUUCCCGGGGAAGCCAGGAAUUGCUGGUGUUUCCGUUUUACUGUCCUCCUCGGUUCCCUCCCAAUGCUUCUCCAUUGCCUUACUUCCACACUCUGAGCCUGGCUUGGCCCUUUCCUCAGGGUGUUUGUUUCUGUGCCAUAGCCGUCCAGAAGAGCCAGCACUCUGAGGGGGGAGGUGCCGCGGCUUUCUGGAGCUCAGAGGGCUCCUGAUAAGAUUAGCUUUUGCUGGGUUGAACUGAGUAUGCCUUGAGGCAGGGACCUUCCAUGAGCCUUGGAUGGAGGGAUCCAGCCAGGGGGUUACAGGCUCCCCUCGUCUCUCUUUGUUUCCCUGCUGUCUGUGUUGGGUGCCCCCUCAUCUGAGUCAGGUUGUUUUCAGGAAGCGGCCUUCAGAAUAGCCAGCCCUGAGGCUCUGAGGUUCCCUCUGCUGCCUUGGACUUGGCGCUCUGGGUUGGGGGGGAUGGGUCCUGGGACCUUCCUUCUGCCUACCCCUUAGGUCCAAGUGAUCUCGGGUUCUGGCUUUUGGGGGGGGCAUACCUUUUGAUCCAGGUCCAGGAGGAGGAUUCCCAGGGUCUAUGCUGUUGAUCGUUUUGAAUUUCAGUGCCCUAGGAGCAUAUAGUUUGAGUUCGGUAGGGAAGGGUUUCCGGAGAUCUGAACUUUAGCUUUCUCUAAGCCGCCAUCUUGACCGGAAGUCUUUUAUCUUUUUUUUAAGACAAAGGAAGACCUGGGUUUAAAUCCUACCACUCUGAAAUUGACUGUGUUUCAGUUAGCCUUUAUCUCUUUCAGACAACUUCCUAGGAUUUACUUACUAAGUUAUGGAUGGGAGUUCCCAUAAAGGGAAUUAUGUAAGCAAGCAAUCAAGAAUUUAUUAAGUGCCUGCUAUGUGCCCAUCUUAUAUAAGUUGCAGUUAACCUUUUGUUAGUGAUUUGCCUACCUGUACUAUGUCUUUUUAUAUGUACCUAGGCUGACUAAUUGGCAAACUUUUUAUGUGUUCACUCUUGACAAAUUCAGUUUGGGAUAUUUUUAUUUUAAAGUGUCAUUAAAUCAUCCUAGAUGUGAUAUCAGGCAGUCAGUUUUAAAUAUGGGAUGUCACUAAGAUAUGGUAAAUGAUGUCACUGGAGUAUAUGAGGUAGUUUUGGAAAAGAGUUGAGAAGAGGACCAAGGAUAGCAACUUGGGGAAUGGUCACAUUUUUGUAGGCAAGAAGAGAAAGAAUUAUUUAGAGACUUAAAAUUAAAAAACAUAUUCUAUAUUUGACAUAUAGCAAUUCAUGUGAAUACGUUUAUUUUCAAGGAAAAACAGAAAAAAGGAUUGUGUAUAAAAUCACAUCUGUUAUAAUUUGCUUUUUAAAAGACAUUAUAAAUUCAAUGAGUUUGUUUUGAAGCUGUCCAAUCAUUUAUGUAUCCCUAUAAAUCUUGAUCUGUUCUUCAUUUUGUUUUUAUUUUAAACCCUAUGUUCUGUCCUAGUAAUAACUCGAAGCAAGAAGGACAAGGGCUAGACAACUGAAGUUAAGUGACACAACUAGGAAGUACCUGAGAGGGAGCUUCAGAGUCAGGAAGAUUUGGAUUCCCGUCCCACUUUUGGCAUAUACUGACUAUAUGACCUGAGAGUAACUGAAUUCCAAAAGUCAGGACAUUUGGAAACAGUUUAGGAUGCAAUGGAUGACCAUGCCUUCUUCAAUGUGAGACCAGACUCUAGGAAUUCCACAGUGCCUACGUCAGCCUUCUUCAUGGCCUUUGGAACAAAUUGUUCUAGUCUGCCCAUUCCACCAGAUGAAAUAUUCACAUGUUUGAGAGUGAGAUCCACACAUAUGGUUAACUUCAUGAAGUAACAAGGCACCAUGAAGGAGAGAUGGGAAAUAGAAUUUGCCAGGCAAGCUGAAGCACUACCACCCUCACUUUGACUAGCUUCUCCCCUCUGUCCCUGAUGGGGAUGACUGAGGAUCUUGGACCCAAGAAUCUCUGCAAAAGUAAUGCUGCUAGCAUUGACUUCCAGCAACUAUAGCAAUCAUUGUGGAAAGCAAUCCCUGUGGAGAUAUAGUCUCAAAAAUGCUCCAGAGAUGCUCCAGCCUCAGCUUUUGAAGAUCUUGAAAAGAAAAUUCCUGUCUUCAAAGUCCCAAGAACUAUUAAAUGAUUCAACAUAAGAAACCGAUAUGAUUUUAUCAGUGGAAAUGAAAUUAAAGAAGAAAUGUUACCACUUAUUUUGCCAUUGCAUUCUGAGCAUAAUGGAACCUUUCCAUCUGAUUUGCAAUUGAAACCUUUUAUGUGUUAUCUUCCCAUAUUAGAUUAUGAGGUCCUUGAGAGCAGGAUCUAUCUCUGCUUUUCUAUUUGUAUCCCUAAUAUAUUGGCACAAUGUUUUGCAAAUACUGAGAGCUUAAUAAAUGUUUUAUUAAUUCAUUCCUCUUAAUGUGAAUAAUAGACUAAUUUGAUGGUUUUCUAUUAUCAACACUUCAUUUGUACCCAUAGUUAAUUUUAAGAAUUUAUUUUGGUGUUUUGAUUAAUAAAGGACAAAUUAAUUUAAUGGUAUCAAUAAAAUCAUUCCCUAUUAAAGUCUUUUCCUACAAUGAGUCAACAAGAUGUGGAGGUAACCCUGGAUUCUGGAAGGGUAUGCCAGUGAAGUACAAAUUUCAGCAAUUUUUUACCACCACAGAAAAACUCUGGUCCUUAUAUUCAAUUAAUCAAUCAAUCAACCAGUGAAUAAGCAUUUAUUAAGAACCUAUUGUGUAGGUUACCCAGAGACCAAGUCAAGAAUGGAGACAUUCAUGAUCAGCAAGCUGGUUACAAGAUGGUAGAGAAAGUAUAAAAUGGCCCUCAGUUCUUCUUCCACUUUUGCAGUAAUCUUGGCAGGAAGGAAGAGAUUUUGAAAAGAACCACAGAGUUCCAGGCUGUCUAUAAAUAGUAAAUUAACUGUUUGUAGUAAAAAUCUAAGAUUAUUAUGCAAAAAUUAAUGAUAAACUUGAGAAUGUCCACAGGAGAACAACAAAGAUGGUAAAAAUUCCUGAGUCCUUGCCAUAGAAGUAAUUGGGAACUCUGGAAAAAAGAAGAUUCAAGGGGAAUAAGAUUGUUGUCUUCCAGAAUUUGUUAAAAAGUGGAAUGGAGGGGGUAACUAGGUAGAAUGAGAGUCAGGCCUAGAGAUAAGAUGUCCUGGGGUCAAAUCUAGCCUCAGACAUUUUUUAGCUGUGUGACUCUGAGCAAGUCAUUUAACCCUCAUUGUCUAGCCCUUACCACUCUUUUGUCUUGGAACCAAUAUACAGUAUUGAUUCUAAGACAGAAAGUAAGAGGUAAAACAAAAAGUGAAAUAGACUACUUUGAGAUAUAGUGGGUUUCACUCCUUGUAGAUUUUCAAGCAGAAGCUGGACCUCUGCUUGUUGGUUUAGAUUGGGCUAGAUGGCCUUUGAGUUCCCUCCCAAUUAUAAAAUUCUAUUAUUCUGUGAAUCAGCAUACUACUAGAGGAACUGAAUUGUGUUAACCAUGACAUUCUUAUCAUAAAUGAAAGUGGGAGAUAAAAGAAGAUUGUAUCAAUCAUCAAUCAGCAUUUAUUAAAUACCUCUAGUGCUCCAGACACUUUACUGGGAAAUGAAGAAAGAAAUCCAAAGAAUGAAAUAGCCUACUUAAAAUAAAUUCAUAAUCUAAUGAGGAAAGUGACAAGUAGAGAAAAAAAUUAUACAUGAUGUAAAAUUAAGAAACACUUGCAUAUAUGUAUAUAUAAAAAUACAUUAAAUACAAGAUAGUUUGGGGUAGAAGGCACUAGAAGCUAGGAGUGGGAUCAGGUGGGACCAUGUAGAAGAUGAUGUCUGAGCUGUAUCUUAAAGGAAAAGGCAGAUUCUUAAAAGCAGAAGUAAGGAGGGAAGAUAUUUGGUUCAGGUCUGGAGAAUGGCUAGUGCAAAUCAAUGGAAAUAGAAGGCAAAGUUUUGAGAAUGAGAAACUGGGAGGCCAUUUGGUUGGAUCCCAAAGUGCAAAUAAAGAAAUCAUAUCCAAUAAUACUGGAAAAUAGGUUGGGACCAGAUUGUACAGGAUUUUAAAAUGUAAAUGGAAGAGUUUCUAUUUUAUCUUAGAGACAAUAGGAGAUUGUUGGAGUUGGUAGAGCCAGACAUUCACAUGGUCAGAUAUUCACUUAUAGAAAAUUUUUUUGGUCUCAUUGUAUAGAAUGGAUUGGAGUGGUAAGAGACUUCAGGAAGGGAGACCCAUCAGAAGAUUUUUCAAAAAUUUAGGAAAGAGCUGAUGAGCAAAGGUUAUAUGAUUAUUCAGAAGGGCUGGCUAUAAGAAAUCUUGUAAUGGUAGAAACAGGAAGUGGCAAGUGAAUGGAUUUGUGGGGUGUAUAAUUGAUAAUCUGUUAACCUUAAAAAAGCCUACAUUUCCCAGGAGCCACUGACUUGCUGUCAUUAUGUACUUCCUGUAGACAGGGGAUAAAUUCAGUGGGCUUUCCUGCUUUCUUGCUCAUUGACUUCCUGGCAAGUAUGGUGGAGGCAAGCACAGGGAUUUUUAAUAAGCUGAUUAGCCAUGGGCAUGUGGUUGGUUUUAAAAAAAUUGUUAGCUUUUUUUCCUUUACUUCUAAUGAUCAUUAAUAAAUCUCUUAAAAUAUAAUAUUUUUAUUAUUUGGGAUUAAAUUUAAUUUUUACAUUAUUUGGUGACCAGAAGUUGGAGAAGGGGUUCUCAAUUUUUUAAGAUAGCCUAGAUAAAAUUUUAAGCCACAUUUCUCCUGCCAUGGCUUUUUCCCCUCCCCUCCAAGCUCCCCCCCCAGCCCCCCGCUUGCCUCAUAAACUUUGAGAGAACUCCAAACUCUCUUCCAGAGCUGCUGCCCUACUUCUGCCCUUUCACUCCCCACUUUUUUCUGGUUGCCUGCCCUAUUGGCCUGACUAUUUUAGUUUGAAGGACUUGAAGGAGAAGGGAUAAGCUGCUUCUCUCACCCAUCUGCUUGAGUAGCAUUCCUUGUUGCUACUUGUGUUACUGCUGCCAAUCCAAUCUCCUGGAUUGUUCCAGCCAUCCACUCUUGAUCUUCCUGAUCCCUCUUACUCCUGAUCCCACUCUCCUUCUGUUAACUCCAAGCAUCCUUCUUCUGUAUUCCUGAUACUGCUUACUCUGGCCCCAUCCCUGGCCCCAGCACCGGCCCCAACUGCUGUUGUUGAUCCUGCUGAGUUGCUGGUAGCUGCCACUGUAUCUUUGGAACUCACAAACUGGGAGUCCUUGGAGCUCUGGGCAGCAGGUAAAAACCAGGUUGUGUUUUCCUUAGGCAACAAUUAGCCUCCAAACUCCCUGUCCAUGUGGCAAUUUUACCUCUAGGGGAAGGGAAAGGAAGGUUACUCCUUGAAACAGGAAGUAAAAUUGCAAACUUGGCACACUCUAUGAAAGAGCAUUGAUUACUUAUCUCAAACAGCUCCCAGUUUUAGGAUGUUUUUUCUUCCUACCAUUCCUUGGUACAUUGGUUCUUUCAAUUAUCUUGUCUGAAAUUCAGGGGAGAAAUUCAUCUCUCUACAACCCUUUGCCAUUGGGCCUGCCCAACCUCUAUAAUACAUCCAAUCUCCACACUAUGCUCUCCCUCACUAUGGGAUUGUGAAUCUUAAAAACUGCUCAGACUGUAUCUUAGAAGAUUUGGUUAAGUUUUUCCCCUAUUGUAACAAUGGAGGUACUUGGUCAGGAAUGUAUUGAGAACUUUUAAAAUUACUCCACCCUACUCAGACAAUGCCUUAGGGGAAGAGAAAGUUGAAAACUUCUGAUUGAACAAUGAAAAGUCCCUAACUCAUACUUAUAGUGAAGCUAAAACCUUAAGCUAGGUCUAUUUUUAGAUCUAAUACAAAAAGGUGCUUAGUACCUAUAAAGGUUAAAUUAGUACCUAAAAGGUCAAGAAACUUACAAAAGGCAAGCUUAACAAAAAAGGUGUGAAGUACUCAGUAGAUUUUAUCUAACCAGAGAAAGUGAGAACAAAAGAAGAUGAGAACUAAGAAUGGGCAGUCCUUGGAAAAAGUGUCUACUAUGAUUGGUAGUUGUGAAAAUUUAGGGGAGGUGAAAUAAGAGAAAAUUUCUUUAAAAGGAGAAGGCAGUUCAGGUAAUUCAGUGGGGAUUUGAAAUUAGUUGGAGUUAGUUGGAGUGAGUUGGAAUUCGGAGUUGAAGUGAGGACUAGAGCUUGCUUGGAGACGAUCUUGUGGUGAGUGAUAAAGACUGACUUGCUCUCCCUUAGGACAGGACAUCCCAGAAAUGUGACAAAAGGAAUCUGAAUGGAUAGAGAAAGGAACUUUAAAGUGUUUGGAGGUGAAAAUUUUUAAACCUUUUCAGAGUCUAUUGUUUUAUGAAAGUCUCUGUAUCUUAUUGUAUUUUGCUGAUUAUCUGCUUUAAGAUUUAAUUUUGUUGUUUUAAGUUCAUAUAUUAAUCUGAUCAAUACUAUUCUAUUACAUUUUAAUCAUUUUAAUCUACUGGAUUUAGCUUUUAGAUAUAUUCUGUUACCUUUCCCCUAUGACUACUGAACAAAAUAUUAUAAAAGCUCAUAAACAGCUUUUUCUUCUAUUUUGGCUUUGUUAAUUGUCACAAGAUGAUGGAUGGAUUCAAUCUGGUUAGCACCUUUUGGAAAAUUUAAUGAGCUAAAUCUCAUCUCAAAUUGAAUUUUAGAUUUUUUAAUAAACAGCUCUGACUAAUCAUUUGCCUGCCUCUGAGUUAUUUGUAUCAAGAGGUAAAGGGUCCAUUUAGUAGCUGAGGUGAAGUGUGAUGGCAUUAUUAUAAUCCCCACCUCCACGUUUGUAAAAAUGUAAAUGAUUGGCACAUAUCACAGUCUCAAACAAGAGGAGCUGGGAAGUUGUGUGGUACCCCUGGAUGGCUCCAAAGAGGGAGCAUCUACCAUUUGUAACUCUUCAGCUUACUCUACCCUUCCACUAGAAUGAUCUAGAUUCUUGGUGACCUUUUUUAGACCCAACACAAUGGUACAGAGGUUUGUGUCUUUUCUAGACUCCUCUGCCACAUUUUUGUAAUGAUGGCAGGUUUUUAAGAAUAUUUCAGCCAAGGUUGAAAGAUUAAUAUACCGGAAAAACUUGUGACAAGAAUCCAUUAGCCUCUAAAGUUUUUUUUAAAAUGUCAUACAGCAUCUCGUAAAAUAUGAUAGUGGGUUUGUUUGCUGUUGUCAUUAAAUGGGCUGAUAUAACUUUGGGGAAUUUGAUACUUUUUGAAUGUGCAUUACCUAUUGUACUAUUGUACUUUAUAAAAAGCUGUUACUUUGUAAAAAUCAUUUGCAGUCAUACUAUGGAUCAUGGCCAAGUUAAAAAGGAAAUAGAUCUCAUUUUUGGGGAGAGAAACCUUUGUCUUCUACCUUUAUUAUUAUUUUUUAAAACAAACCCUUACCUUCUGUCUUAGAAUCAAUAUUAUGUAUUGGCUCCAAGGCAGAAGAGUGGUAAGGGCUAGGCAAUGGGGGUUAAGUGACUUGCCCAGGGUCACACAGUUGGAAGUGUCUGAGGCCAGAUUUGAACCUAGGACCUCCUGUCUCUAGGCCUGGAUCUCAAUCCACUGAGCUAACCAGCUGCCCCUAUUCUACAUUUUCUUAGCUGACACAGUGUGCCAG